Long non-coding RNA from Chrysoperla carnea, 1044 nucleotides. RefSeq lists it as uncharacterized. Lineage: Eukaryota; Metazoa; Arthropoda; Insecta; Neuroptera; Chrysopidae. The transcript is spliced from 3 exons. The record is from RefSeq and is a predicted model, not a curated record.
AAACAUUGACUGCAUAAUAUGACUCUUCCUGACAUCUAUUGGCGACGAGAUAAAGUAUAUUACCGGGACAUUCAAAUUGGUAUUUGUGACAUUAAAAAAAGAUAAAAAAUUAAAGACAUUUUAAUUUUUUGUGAUUAUUUUAAGCUGUAUUUAGCUACACUAUGACCUCAAAUUCAUAACUAUCUAUAAAUGUGAAAAACUGCGUCAAUUUAGGCAAUAUUUGUGCAAUAAUCUAAAUGUAACUUGCUUCAUGUUUAUGGAAAUACAGCUUUAUUAAAUAGUUAGGGACUUUGAUCAAAAGGCUGGGAAACUGGUGGGCGAAAUACCAUGGGAGAAACACUUUUCGUUACUUUUAUCCCCAAUUAGAAUGAAAACACCUUUGAAAUAAUAUUAUCUAGCUUUUCAUUCACUUUAAUACUCAUUGGGAAAAAUUUUUCUCAAAGCUUAAAUACUCCCCACAAACUCAUUUUUUAUAAGAAAUAACUAAAUCUGCCUUUUUUCAUCAAUUUGGAGAUAAAAUGAGGAUCAAGUAUUAUUCCAGUGCCAUCAUCUGCCAUUUUUUCCUACGAAAUUUCUUAUUUUCUCAACUGUACACAUCCUGAAUGGUUAACAUCACAAUCUUUAAAAAGAAAAUCGUAUAAAUGGAAAGAAAAUGGCGUCUGAUAUUAUUCCUACAUAUACAGCGCUCUAAUAAUACACAUACUCAGAGAUUACGCAGAGUGAUUGGUAUAUAAAGUAAUUCUUUUGUUUUUUAUAAAAAAAUUUGUUUUUUAUAGUGCAAUUUUAAAAAUUUUGUGUAUAGAGGGUGUCUCAGAAUUAUCACUCAUGGAUGAAGUGAUAUAGAAAAAAAGAACCUACACUUAUUGAGGUUAAGAAUUACCUUCUGGUACACUUUCUAAAAAUUAUCCUUCUCCGAAAAGAAAUAAAAGUCUGGUCGUUAAAAGACAAGCUGGGUUGGGGAUACCAAACCGAUCUUUUGUUUUUCGGCAACGAGGCUGUCAUUUUUCUUCGUAGAAAGAUGAUUCUCAAGAAAAUUUUUACUUC